AACGUACGCAGAGUGCGCGUGAAUACGACACCAACGUGCUGAAGCCGUUCCAGGAUGUGCUGAAUGACCCUGCGCCGAAGAAACUGAUCAUCGUUCAUCUGCUGGGUAC
Molecule: unclassified non-coding RNA, 109 nt
Filed under: uncultured fungus
Lineage: Eukaryota; Fungi
Description: sequence contains ITS1
Source: RNAcentral